Molecule: unclassified non-coding RNA, 332 nt
Filed under: soil metagenome
Description: partial contains 5.8S ribosomal RNA, internal transcribed spacer 2, and large subunit ribosomal RNA
Rfam family: 5.8S ribosomal RNA (bases 1-120)
Source: RNAcentral
GAUGAAGAACGUAGCAAAAUGCGAUAAGUAAUGUGAAUUGCAGAAUUCAGUGAAUCAUCGAAUCUUUGAACGCACAUUGUGCCCGCCAGUAUUCUGGCGGGCAUGCCUGUUCGAGCGUCAUUUCAACCCUCAAGCACAGCUUGGUGUUGGGACUCGCGUUAAUUCGCGUUCCUCAAAUUGAUUGGCGGUCACGUCGAGCUUCCAUAGCGUAGUAGUAAAACCCUCGUUACUGGUAAUCGUCGCGGCCACGCCGUUAAACCCCAACUUCUGAAUGUUGACCUCGGAUCAGGUAGGAAUACCCGCUGAACUUAAGCAUAUCAAUAAGCGGAGGA